CGGAGGAUCCAAGCGUUAUCCGGAAUCAUUGGGUUUAAAGGGUCCGUAGGCGGUUUUAUAAGUCAGUGGUGAAAUCUGGUCGCUCAACGAUCAAACGGCCAUUGAUACUGUAAGACUUGAAUUACUUGGAAGUAACUAGAAUAUGUAGUGUAGCGGUGAAAUGCUUAGAGAUUACAUGGAAUACCAAUUGCGAAGGCAGGUUACUACAAGUAUAUUGACGCUGAUGGACGAGAGCGUGGGGAGCGAACAGGAUUAGAUACCCUGGUAGUCCACGCCGUAAACGAUGGAUACUAGCUGUUUGGAGCAAUCUGAGUGGCUAAGCGAAAGUGAUAAGUAUCCCACCUGGGGAGUACGCUCGCAAGAGUG
RNAcentral lists this ribosomal RNA (366 nucleotides) under uncultured organism. Its description in RNAcentral is "bacterial SSU rRNA". It matches the Rfam family "Bacterial small subunit ribosomal RNA", at positions 526 to 896 of the family's 1533-position model. The record is from RNAcentral.